RNAcentral lists this ribosomal RNA (469 nucleotides) under uncultured bacterium. RNAcentral's name for it is "partial 16S ribosomal RNA". It matches the Rfam family "Bacterial small subunit ribosomal RNA", at positions 28 to 507 of the family's 1533-position model. The record is from RNAcentral.
GACGAACGCUGGCGGCGUGCUUAACACAUGCAAGUCGAACGGAAAGGCCCUGCUUGCAGGGUGCUCGAGUGGCGAACGGGUGAGUAACACGUGGGUGAUCUGCCCCUUACUUUGGGAUAAGCCUGGGAAACUGGGUCUAAUACUGGAUAGGACCAUGCUGUAGGUGGUGUGGUGGAAAGAUUAGUUUCGGUAAGGGAUGAGCUCGCGGCCUAUCAGCUUGUUGGUGGGGUAAUGGCCUACCAAGGCGUCGACGGGUAGCCGGCCUGAGAGGGUGGGCGGCCACAUUGGGACUGAGAUACGGCCCAGACUCCUACGGGAGGCAGCAGUGGGGAAUAUUGCACAAUGGGCGCAAGCCUGAUGCAGCGACGCCGCGUGGGGGAUGACGGCCUUCGGGUUGUAAACUCCUUUCGGCCAUGACGAAGCCCUUGUGGUGACGGUAGUGGUAGAAGAAGCACCGGCUAACUACGUG